GCAUCUUUAAGGUUGAUCACGGUUUGGUCCGACAGCACAGCAACAACAGCCCACCACUGCUCUACCAGCCGAUCAAACAUCUCACACACGGAGUUCCACCGUGUUUUACAUGACUUGAUAAGCCGGUGAGUUGCGAGGCCCAUUUGCUAGUGUUUUGCAGCGCUUUGGUGGCUUCAGUGCUGUGAUUAAAGUGGCUAACGAGGUUACUAGCCGCUGAUAUUACCCAAUAUAGAUACAGUGCAAAUCUAUCAUUUAUGACCAACUGGGGGGGGGUGCAAAGCAGGCAACGGAUACCCAGAGCACUUAGGUGGGACGUUUGGCAGCAAC
Long non-coding RNA from Etheostoma spectabile (orangethroat darter), 327 nucleotides. RefSeq lists it as uncharacterized. The transcript is spliced from 3 exons. NCBI's taxonomy places the organism in Eukaryota, Metazoa, Chordata, Actinopteri, Perciformes, Percidae. The record is from RefSeq and is a predicted model, not a curated record.